UACGUAGGCAGCAAGCGUUGUUCGGAGUUACUGGGCGUAAAGGGUGCGUAGGCGGCUUUUAAGUCUGGUGUGAAAUCUCCCGGCUCAACUGGGCGGGGUCAGCGGAUACGGUCUCACUUGAGCAAGCUAGGGGGCAAUGGAAUUCCCGGUGUAGUGGUGGAAUGCGUAGAUAUCGGGAGGAACACCAGUGGCGAAGGCGGUUGCCUGGGGCUUGCUGACGCUGAUGCGCGAAAGCGUGGGGAGCGAGUCCGG
Molecule: ribosomal RNA, 252 nt
Filed under: uncultured bacterium
Lineage: Bacteria
Description: partial 16S ribosomal RNA
Rfam family: Bacterial small subunit ribosomal RNA
Source: RNAcentral